UUUAAAGUUUCAAAAUUUUGAGUUAAUAUACAUGUAUAAUACACAUGAUGAUAUGAUUACAAAUACAGGUAGCUAAAUGGUUUAUAUGAUAUCAAUGUCGUAGUCACGGAUUGUUUAUUAUCAAUUAUGACUAUCAUAGAUAUACUUUCUGUAUUGUCAGUUAGUGUAUUUAUAAACUCACAACAAUGUGCCUUACUACCAUUGAUAAUAACAAUGCUGUGUACCUGCUAAUUUCUUUGAAGUUGUUUUAAACAAAGUAACUCAUAACUAAAUACUUUAUUUAUAAUAAGUAAACAAAUAAUAAAAUCUCCUUUCAGUAUUGAUGUUCGUAAAUUACUUGCUUUUGAUGAUGUUUCAGUGUCAUUCCACUUCGAAAUUAUAAAUAACGAUUCAAUUAGGUACACAAAAAGCUCAAGAAAAUCAUUGACAGCAUAAAAACGUUCAACUCAUUUAGUCGCACAUAAUUGUUUUAAUGAUUUUUUAGUUAUACAUUUUUGACUUUCUUCGAUUUGACUUUUCAACACAUCUUUUCGCUUUGGAAGAUGAAUAAGAAAUAGCAAGGUUUAAAACAUGAACAGCACAAUGAACAAACGUCGCAAGCGGAUAACUUUGGUGAAUAAGAGAUUGAGCUCCGUUAAAUUGACCAGACAUAGAAGCACAUCCAUCGUAACACUGUCCUCUAAGUAGUAUCUGUUGUAGGCACAAACUGAAGAAUUCUUCCUUGAUAAUCAUAUUUUCAACAUCUAAAUAUCGAACACACAAAGUUACUUGUUCGCUUCCACCAAUGUCGGCCGUUUCAUCAGCAAGUAUUUUGAAACAUCUUUGGGCAUUUAUGUUUGUUACGAUUUUAUUUAAAAUAAUUUUAUUACAGGAUUCAAUUAUUUCAUUUUGAAGUGUUUCACUUGUAUAUUUUAUUGUUUCUUCAGCUUCCAAAAAUUAUUUUAAACGGUCAUCUCCUUGGGCACUGUAUCUUAAUAUAUCUCUAAAAUUUCCUUGAUUUUCUUGGAUAAUUUGUCAUUUUCAUUGAAGUUACAAAGAUAGCCGUUAUUGUCAAAAAUAAUAAUAAUAAUAAUAACAUUAAAAAU
This is a long non-coding RNA of Daktulosphaira vitifoliae (grape phylloxera), 1085 nucleotides long. RefSeq lists it as uncharacterized. The transcript has 3 exons. The record is from RefSeq and is a predicted model, not a curated record. NCBI's taxonomy places the organism in Eukaryota, Metazoa, Arthropoda, Insecta, Hemiptera, Phylloxeridae.